Molecule: ribosomal RNA, 243 nt
Filed under: uncultured bacterium
Lineage: Bacteria
Description: partial 16S ribosomal RNA
Rfam family: Bacterial small subunit ribosomal RNA
Source: RNAcentral
AGCGAACGCUGGCGGCAGGCUUAACACAUGCAAGUCGAGCGGGCGUAGCAAUACGUCAGCGGCAGACGGGUGAGUAACACGUGGGAACGUACCUUUGGUUCGGAACAACACAGGGAAACUUGUGCUAAUACCGAAUAAGCCCUUACGGGAAGGAUUAUCGCCGAAAGAUCGGCCCGCGUCUGAUUAGCUUGUUGGUGAGGUAACGGCUCACCAAGGCGACGAUCAGUAGCUGGCUGAGAGGAU